This 47-nucleotide small RNA is filed under the name Arabidopsis thaliana (thale cress). Its description in RNAcentral is "ATSL304660". Lineage: Eukaryota; Viridiplantae; Streptophyta; Magnoliopsida; Brassicales; Brassicaceae. The record is from RNAcentral.
AGUUGGUGAGUUGUUCUUGUUCUUGCGCCGUCCUGCUCCGAUUGGAA